Molecule: ribosomal RNA, 315 nt
Filed under: uncultured soil bacterium
Lineage: Bacteria
Description: bacterial SSU rRNA
Rfam family: Bacterial small subunit ribosomal RNA
Source: RNAcentral
AGAACGAACGCUGGCGGCAUGCCUAAUACAUGCAAGUCGAACGAACACUUCGGUGUUAGUGGCGCACGGGUGCGUAACGCGUGGGAAUCUGCCCUUGGGUUCGGAAUAACAGUUGGAAACGACUGCUAACACCGGAUGAUGACGAAAGUCCAAAGAUUUAUCGCCCAGGGAUGAGCCCGCGUAGGAUUAGCUAGUUGGUGAGGUAAAGGCUCACCAAGGCAACGAUCCUUAGCUGGUCUGAGAGGAUGAUCAGCCACACUGGGACUGAGACACGGCCCAGACUCCUACGGGAGGCAGCAGUAGGGAAUAUUGGAC